UACGUAGGGACCAAGCGUUGUUCGGAUUUACUGGGCGUAAAGGGCGCGUAGGCGGCCUGCUAAGUCGAACGUGAAGUCCCUGGGCUCAACCCAGGAACUGCGUCCGAUACUGGUUGGCUUGAAUCCGGGAGAGGGAUGUGGAAUUCCAGGUGUAGCGGUGAAAUGCGUAGAUAUCUGGAGGAACACCGGUGGCGAAGGCGACAUCCUGGACCGGUAUUGACGCUGAGGCGCGAAAGCCAGGGGAGCAAACGGG
Molecule: ribosomal RNA, 253 nt
Filed under: uncultured bacterium
Lineage: Bacteria
Description: partial 16S ribosomal RNA
Rfam family: Bacterial small subunit ribosomal RNA
Source: RNAcentral